CCUUAGUAAUGGCGAAUGACCAGGGAAUGGCUCAGCGUGAAAUCAAGGCCACCGGCCUUGACGUGUAGUCUGAAGAAGUAUUGCCAAUGGAGGCGCAGAUGAAAGUCUCUUGGAAAAGAGCAUCACUGAGGGUGAGAGUCCUGCUGCAACGUCUGCAGACCCCCAUGCACGGUGUACAUUCGCAGAGUCACGUUCCUUGGCAUUGGAGCGCAAAGGUGGUGGUAAAUUUCAUCUAAAGCUGAAUAUUGGUUUGAGACCGAUAGUGAAGAAGUACCAUGAGGGAAAGGUGAAAAGGACUUUGAAAAGAGAGUUAAAAGUGCAUGAAAUUGUUGAAAAGGAAGCGGAUGGAAUCAGUCUUGCUAGUCAAGAUUGCCAUGUGCACGCUGAUGUGCAGCUGCUGCAGCGAAAGUGCAACAACCUGUAUUGAUAUUGUUGCGUAUGGUGGCUCUUGCAUUGCUUGUCAAGACCAAUUCGUGAUUGGGGAAAACUCCGACAGGGAUGAAAUGUCACCUGUGGGAGAUUGAAUACCUGUGGAGGGACUGAUUUGCGAAUUGUGCUUUGAAUGUUUGGUUGUAGGAAAGGCAUGCCUUGAUGUGCCACCUUCCAAACAUGAGUAGUGAUGACAAAAUGGUUUCAUCCGACCCGUCUUGAAACACGGACCAAGGAGUCUAACAUAUGUGCAAGUUCCUGAGUUACGAACCUUGGCUGCAUAAUGAAAGUGACAGCUGGGAUACAUGCACCAGCAGCCGACCGAUCAAAUGAGAUCGGUUUGAGUAUGAGCAUAUCUGUUAGGACCCGAAAGAUGGUGAACUAUGCCUGAGAAGGGUGAACUCAGGGGAAACUCUGAUGGAGGCUCGUAGCGAUACUGACGUGCAAAUCGUUCGUCAUACUUGGGUAUAGGGGCGAAAGACUAAUCGAACCAUCUAGUAGCUGGUUCCCUCCGAAGUUUCCCUCAGGAUAGCUGGAGUUGAACAGUUUUGUCAGGUAAAGCGAAUGACUAGAGGAAUCGGGGGCGCAUCGUCUUCGACCUAUUCUCAAACUUUAAAUGGGCAAGAUCCAGUGGUUACUUGAGAGAACCUCUGGGAUAAAUGACAAUUCUAAGUGGGCCGUUUUUGGUAAGCAGAACUGGCGAUGAGGGAUGAACCUGACGCAGUGUUAAGGUGUUUAACUGCUCGCUCAUCAGAUACCAUAAAGGGUGUUGGUUCAUUUUAACAGCAGGACGGUGGUCAUGGAAGUCGAAAUCCGCUAAGGAGUGUGUAACAACUCACCUGCCGAAUGGACUAGCCCCGAAAAUGGAUGGCGCUCAAGCGGGUGACCGAUACAUUGCCAUUGUUGCCAAUAUGCUGCGACAAUGAGUAGGAGGGCAUGGGGGCU
Molecule: ribosomal RNA, 1374 nt
Filed under: Jadwigia applanata
Lineage: Eukaryota; Dinophyceae; Gymnodiniales; Tovelliaceae
Description: LSU rRNA
Rfam family: Eukaryotic large subunit ribosomal RNA
Source: RNAcentral